This 253-nucleotide ribosomal RNA is filed under the name uncultured bacterium. Its description in RNAcentral is "partial 16S ribosomal RNA". It matches the Rfam family "Bacterial small subunit ribosomal RNA", at positions 524 to 776 of the family's 1533-position model. The record is from RNAcentral.
UACGUAGGGGGCAAGCGUUAUCCGGAUUUACUGGGUGUAAAGGGAGCGCAGGCGGGAGAUUAAGUUAAGAGUGAAAGCCUUGGGCUCAACCCAAGAAAUGCUCUUAAUACUGGUUUUCUAGAGUGUGGGAGAGGUAAGUGGAAUUCCUAGUGUAGCGGUAGAAUGCGUAGAUAUUAGGAGGAACACCAGUGGCGGAGGCGGCUUACUGGACGGUAACUGACGCUGAGGCUCGAAAGCGUGGGGAGCAAACAGG